Molecule: ribosomal RNA, 879 nt
Filed under: Micractinium reisseri
Lineage: Eukaryota; Viridiplantae; Chlorophyta; Trebouxiophyceae; Chlorellales; Chlorellaceae
Description: eukaryotic LSU rRNA
Rfam family: Eukaryotic large subunit ribosomal RNA
Source: RNAcentral
AGCGGAGGAAAAGAAACUAACCAGGAUGGCCCUUAGUAACGGCGAGCGAACCGGGCAGAGCCCAACUUGAAAAUCUCCAGCCUCCGGCUGGCGAAUUGUAGUCUAGAGAAGUGCUCUCUGCCUCAGUCCGGCCCCAAGUCCCCUGGAAAGGGGCGUCAGAGAGGGUGAGAACCCCGUUGGGACCGGAGCCUGGGGCUCCACGAGACGCUUUCGAAGAGUCGGGUUGUUUGGGAAUGCAGCCCAAAGCAGGUGGUAAAUCCCAUCUAAGGCUAAAUACAGACGGGAGACCGAUAGCGAACAAGUACCGCGAGGGAAAGAUGAAAAGAACUUUGAAAAGAGAGUUAAAAAGUGCUUGAAAUUGUUGAGAGGGAAGCGAUUGGAUCCUACGGGUGCGCCCAGGCACACGCCUGCCUAACGGUUGGCUGAAUGCGCUGGGUGCUGGUCAGCAUGGGUUGGCCGGGCGGGACAAACCCGGGGGUUGCUACCCCGGCUAUGUCGCCUGGCCGACCGAGGAACGAAGGGCGCUCUCUGAGUCCUCCGGGAACUGCGUCCUCAAGAUGCUGGCGGAAAGGUUCCAAUCGGCCCGUCUUGAAACACGGACCAAGGAGUCUAACAUGCAUGCGAGCUGGUGGGUGGCAAACCCAUGAAGCGCAAGUAACCUGACUGGUGGGAUGGCCUGUGCCUGCACCAUCGACCGACCAUGAUCUUCUGUGAAAGGUUCGAGUACGAGCAUGCCUGUUGGGACCCGAAAGAUGGUGAACUAUGCCUGAGCAGGGCGAAGCCAGAGGAAACUCUGGUGGAGGCUCGUAGAUGUGCUGACGUGCAAAUCGCUUUUCGGACUUGGGUAUAGGGGCGAAAGACUAAUCGAACCUUCUAGUA